This 253-nucleotide ribosomal RNA is filed under the name uncultured bacterium. RNAcentral describes it as "partial 16S ribosomal RNA". It matches the Rfam family "Bacterial small subunit ribosomal RNA", at positions 524 to 776 of the family's 1533-position model. The record is from RNAcentral.
UACGGGGGGGGCAAGCGUUGUUCGGAAUUACUGGGCUUAAAGGGUCUGUAGGCGGCCAACUAAGUCAGACGUGAAAUCCCUCAGCUUAACUGGGGAACUGCGUCUGAGACUGGAUGGCUCGAGUGCAGGAGAGGAAUGCGGAAUUCCAGGUGUAGCGGUGAAAUGCGUAGAUAUCUGGAGGAACACCGGUGGCGAAGGCGGCAUUCUGGACUGCAACUGACACUGAGAGACGAAAGCCAGGGGAGCAAACGGG